This 61-nucleotide transfer RNA is filed under the name Cucujoidea sp. 13 KM-2017. RNAcentral's name for it is "tRNA-Cys". Lineage: Eukaryota; Metazoa; Arthropoda; Insecta; Coleoptera. The record is from RNAcentral.
AAUUCUAUAUUCAAUUAUGAUAUUAAAUUGCAAAUUUAAAGGUAAAUUUAUUUUAGAAUUU